CCAGUACCGUGAGGGAAAGGCGAAAAGAACCCCGGAGAGGGGAGUGAAAUAGAACCUGAAACCGUAUGCGUACAAGCAGUGGGAGCCUACUUUGUUAGGUGACUGCGUACCUUUUGUAUAAUGGGUCAGCGACUUAUAUUCAGUGGCGAGCUUAACCGAAUAGGGGAGGCGUAGCGAAAGCGAGUCUUAAUAGGGCGUUUAGUCGCUGGGUAUAGACCCGAAACCGGGCGAUCUAUCCAUGGGCAGGUUGAAGGUUAGGUAACACUGACUGGAGGACCGAACCGACUACCGUUGAAAAGUUAGCGGAUGACCUGUGGAUCGGAGUGAAAGGCUAAUCAAGCUCGGAGAUAGCUGGUUCUCCUCGAAAGCUAUUUAGGUAGCGCCUCAUGUAUCACUGUAGGGGGUAGAGCACUGUUUCGGCU
RNAcentral lists this ribosomal RNA (422 nucleotides) under Bacillus cereus. RNAcentral's name for it is "bacterial LSU rRNA". It matches the Rfam family "Bacterial large subunit ribosomal RNA", at positions 495 to 920 of the family's 2925-position model. The record is from RNAcentral. Lineage: Bacteria; Bacillati; Bacillota; Bacilli; Caryophanales; Bacillaceae.